GGCGGACGGGUGAGGAAUACAUCGGAAUCUACUCUGUCGUGGGGGAGUAACGUAGGGAAACUUACGCUAAUACCGCAUACGACCUACGGGUGAAAGCAGGGGAUCUUCGGACCUUGCGCGAUUGAAUGAGCCGAUGUCGGAUUAGCUAGUUGGCGGGGUAAAGGCCCACCAAGGCGACGAUCCGUAGCUGGUCUGAGAGGAUGAUCAGCCACACUGGAACUGAGACACGGUCCAGACUCCUACGGGAGGCAGCAGCA
Molecule: ribosomal RNA, 257 nt
Filed under: uncultured Stenotrophomonas sp.
Lineage: Bacteria; Pseudomonadati; Pseudomonadota; Gammaproteobacteria; Lysobacterales; Lysobacteraceae
Description: partial 16S ribosomal RNA
Rfam family: Bacterial small subunit ribosomal RNA
Source: RNAcentral